RNAcentral lists this ribosomal RNA (253 nucleotides) under uncultured bacterium. Its description in RNAcentral is "partial 16S ribosomal RNA". It matches the Rfam family "Bacterial small subunit ribosomal RNA", at positions 524 to 776 of the family's 1533-position model. The record is from RNAcentral.
UACGUAGGGUGCAAGCGUUAAUCGGAAUUACUGGGCGUAAAGCGUGCGCAGGCGGUUUUGUAAGUCUGUCGUGAAAUCCCCGGGCUUAACCUGGGAAUGGCGUUUGAAACUACGGAGCUGGAGUGUGGCAGAGGGAGGUAGAAUUCCACGUGUAGCGGUGAAAUGCGUAGAUAUGUGGAGGAAUACCGAUGGCGAAGGCAGCCUCCUGGGCCAACACUGACGCUCAUGCACGAAAGCGUGGGGAGCAAACAGG